AUGCAUUUUGACGGCUCUAAAAUGCUGGCCGGAUUGGGAGCGGGUGUUGUCCUAACAUCCCCCAUCGGAGACACGGUUCAGUACGUCCUCCAAAUAUUAUACACAGACUCCAACAAUGCAGCCGAAUACGAGGCUCUGUUGCAUGGUCUUCGGAUGGCAGUCUACAUGGGCAUCCAACGCCUCGAAGUGCGCGGGGACUCGAACCUCGCAAUAUCUCAGGUAAAUAGAGACUUUGAUGCCAAGGACCCGAAAAUGGCGGCCUAUCACAAUGUCGUCCUCAAAAUGUCAGCUCGGUUCGAGGGGCUCGAAUUCCACCAUGUGGUUAGAGAAAAUAACAAGCGGCCGAUAUCCUCGCCCGCAUCGAUGCUAAACGUGACCCCGUCCCACCUAAUAUCUUCUUAG
RNAcentral lists this ribosomal RNA (402 nucleotides) under Triticum aestivum (bread wheat). RNAcentral's name for it is "partial small subunit ribosomal RNA". Lineage: Eukaryota; Viridiplantae; Streptophyta; Magnoliopsida; Poales; Poaceae. The record is from RNAcentral.